RNAcentral lists this long non-coding RNA (307 nucleotides) under Physcomitrium patens. RNAcentral describes it as "long non-coding RNA (PPAT_LNC006636)". Lineage: Eukaryota; Viridiplantae; Streptophyta; Bryopsida; Funariales; Funariaceae. The record is from RNAcentral.
CUGCCUUUAAUUCUUUAUGUUCCCUGCCGAAGAAGGAAGGCUAUAAGCAGGCACAUCACCCACCUCCGGGCGUUUUUCAGUCACCCCCCAUCCGUCAAUUCAACAGACAAAGCCCUCAAUUAUCAACGACCACUAUUUCCAUCAGUUUGCCAUGAAUUUGAACUGUAUCCUCUUUAUUUCCAUCAGUUUGCCAUGAAUUUGAACUGUAUCCUCUUUGCUGCUAAGGCUGGCGCAAACCAGACUUUAUGACUCUUUGAACGUAGUUUAUGGAUGCCCCUGCUGCGAUUGUUCUUGCCACAUACCGGUC